UGGCUCAGGACGAACGCUGGCGGCGUGCGUAAUACAUGCAAGUCGAACGCUUCUUUUUCCACCGGAGCUUGCUCCACCGGAAAAAGAGGAGUGGCGAACGGGUGAGUAACACGUGGGUAACCUGCCCAUCAGAAGGGGAUAACACUUGGAAACAGGUGCUAAUACCGUAUAACAAUCAAAACCGCAUGGUUUUGAUUUGAAAGGCGCUUUCGGGUGUCGCUGAUGGAUGGACCCGCGGUGCAUUAGCUAGUUGGUGAGGUAACGGCUCACCAAGGCCACGAUGCAUAGCCGACCUGAGAGGGUGAUCGGCCACAUUGGGACUGAGACACGGCCCAAACUCCUACGGGAGGCAGCAGUAGGGAAUCUUCGGCAAUGGACGAAAGUCUGACCGAGCAACGCCGCGUGAGUGAAGAAGGUUUUCGGAUCGUAAAACUCUGUUGUUAGAGAAGAACAAGGAUGAGAGUAACUGUUCAUCCCUUGACGGUAUCUAACCAGAAAGCCACGGCUAACUACGUGCCAGCAGCCGCGGUAAUACGUAGGUGGCAAGCGUUGUCCGGAUUUAUUGGGCGUAAAGCGAGCGCAGGCGGUUUCUUAAGUCUGAUGUGAAAGCCCCCGGCUCAACCGGGGAGGGUCAUUGGAAACUGGGAGACUUGAGUGCAGAAGAGGAGAGUGGAAUUCCAUGUGUAGCGGUGAAAUGCGUAGAUAUAUGGAGGAACACCAGUGGCGAAGGCGGCUCUCUGGUCUG
Molecule: ribosomal RNA, 745 nt
Filed under: uncultured Bacilli bacterium
Lineage: Bacteria; Bacillati; Bacillota; Bacilli
Description: bacterial SSU rRNA
Rfam family: Bacterial small subunit ribosomal RNA
Source: RNAcentral